CUGUCGGAUUAUUGGGCGUAAGGGAGCGCAGGCGGUUUGAUAAGUCUGAAGUUAAAGGCUGUGGCUCAACCAUAGUACGCUUUGGAAACUGUUUAACUUGAGUGCAGAAGGGGAGAGUGGAAUUCCAUGUGUAGCGGUGAAAUGCGUAAAAUAUGGAGGAACACCGGUUGCGAAAGCGGCUCUCUGGUCUGUAACUGACGCUUAAGCUCCAAAGCCUGGGGAGCCAACAGGAUUAAAUACCCCGGUAGUCCACGCCGUAAACCAUGAGUGCUAGGUGUUGGAUCCUUUCCGGGGUUCAGUGCCGCAACUAACGCAUUAACCACUCCGCCGGGGGAGUACCACCGCAAGGUUGAAACCAAAGGGAAUUUGGGGGG
Molecule: ribosomal RNA, 374 nt
Filed under: uncultured bacterium
Lineage: Bacteria
Description: bacterial SSU rRNA
Rfam family: Bacterial small subunit ribosomal RNA
Source: RNAcentral